AACGAACGUUGGCGGCGUGGAUUAGGCAUGCAAGUCGAACGAGAACCGCUGGGCAACUGGCGGGGAAAGUGGCGAAAGGGGCAGUAAGGCGUGGGUAACGUACCCCCGGGACUGGGAUAGCUACGGGAAACCGUAGGUAAUACCGGGCGACGUAACGACGGGGCAUCUCGUUGUUACCAAAGGGUCCGCCGCCUGGGGAGCGGCUCACGUGGUAUUAGCUAGUUGGUGGGGUAAUGGCCUACCAAGGCGAAGAUGCCUAGCUGGUGUGAGAGCAUGACCAGCGCCACUGGCACUGAGACACUGGCCAGACACCUACGGGUGGCUGCAGUCGAGGAUCUUCCGCAAUGGGCGCAAGCCUGACGGAGCGACGCCGCGUGCGCGAUGAAGGCCUUCGGGUUGUAAAGCGCUGUCGAGGGGGAGAAAAGCCCGCAAGGGUCUGAUCUAUCCCUGGAGGAAGCACGGGCUAAGUUCGUGCCAGCAGCCGCCGUAAAAC
This 493-nucleotide ribosomal RNA is filed under the name uncultured bacterium. RNAcentral describes it as "bacterial SSU rRNA". It matches the Rfam family "Bacterial small subunit ribosomal RNA", at positions 28 to 526 of the family's 1533-position model. The record is from RNAcentral.